RNAcentral lists this ribosomal RNA (351 nucleotides) under uncultured soil bacterium. RNAcentral describes it as "bacterial SSU rRNA". It matches the Rfam family "Bacterial small subunit ribosomal RNA", at positions 26 to 380 of the family's 1533-position model. The record is from RNAcentral.
AGAGUGAACGCUGGCGGCAGGCCUAACACAUGCAAGUCGAACGGCAGCGCAGCCCCGCAAGGGGUGGGCGGCGAGUGGCGGACGGGUGAGGAAUACAUCGGAAUCUACCCUGUCGUGGGGGAUAACGUAGGGAAACUUACGCUAAUACCGCAUACGACCCACGGGUGAAAGCGGCGGACCGCAAGGCGUCGCGCGACUGGAUGAGCCGAUGUCCGAUUAGCUAGUUGGCGGGGUAAAGCCCACAAGGCGACGAUCGGUAGCUGGUCUGAGAGGAUGAUCAGCCACACUGGGACUGAGACCACGGCCCAGACUCCGUACGGGAGGCAGCAGUGGGGUAAGUUUUGGACGAAG